RNAcentral lists this ribosomal RNA (253 nucleotides) under uncultured bacterium. Its description in RNAcentral is "partial 16S ribosomal RNA". It matches the Rfam family "Bacterial small subunit ribosomal RNA", at positions 524 to 776 of the family's 1533-position model. The record is from RNAcentral.
UACGUAGGGGGCAAGCGUUGUCCGGAUUUAUUGGGCGUAAAGAGCGUGUAGGCGGCUUUACAGGUCCGUUGUGAAAACUCGAGGCUCAACCUCGAGACGCCGGUGGAAACCGUAAAGCUAGAGUCCGGAAGAGGAGAGUGGAAUUCCUGGUGUAGCGGUGAAAUGCGCAGAUAUCAGGAAGAACACCAAUGGCGAAAGCAGCUCUCUGGGACGGUACUGACGCUGAGACGCGAAAGCGUGGGGAGCGAACAGG